UUACAUCUAAUUCCUACGAAUUUCUCCAAUUAAACCCAUAUUUCGUUCAUCCAAUAUUUCACAAUUUUCAGCAUACAUCAUUCUAAUCAGAGUCAAAUCAAUGGUUUAUCACUACCCAUUACAUGUUAACCCAUAAUACCCAUCAAACGGCGAUAAACCCCCCUUACCUGAGUUAAUCCGGCCAAUCUCUGAGCUUCAAG
This 200-nucleotide long non-coding RNA is filed under the name Lathyrus oleraceus (garden pea). RNAcentral describes it as "Pisum sativum (pea) long non-coding RNA (PSAT_LNC026763)". The record is from RNAcentral. Lineage: Eukaryota; Viridiplantae; Streptophyta; Magnoliopsida; Fabales; Fabaceae.